This is a long non-coding RNA of Apis dorsata (giant honeybee), 436 nucleotides long. RefSeq lists it as uncharacterized. The record is from RefSeq and is a predicted model, not a curated record. The transcript is spliced from 2 exons. NCBI's taxonomy places the organism in Eukaryota, Metazoa, Arthropoda, Insecta, Hymenoptera, Apidae.
AAAAAAAAAAAAAAAAAAAAAAAAAAAAUAAAAGGAAUCCGAGAGGAAAUGAAAUUGAAAGAGUGAAAGUUAUGUAGCCGCGCAUAUAGAAAAGGGGGAAUCGAAGAAUAUAUGUAUAUAAUUUGCUCGGUCCUGAACUGUCAACAAGAGGAGAGUUAACACGGAUUGAAUCAAUUAUAGCCCCGUUUUGGAGUGAACGAGCAAAUGACGGAAUGAGCAAUUUCCGGGCUUGGUUAAUCCAUAUAACGAGUAAAUGAAUUUUUGUUAUAAAUUGUCUUUGACUAUAGUCUGCGAAUUAUGUUUGUAAUGUAAAACUGAAAAUGAAGAAAAAAUGGUAUCAAGUAUUGAGUUAUAAAAAAAAACAAGCAAUGCUAGAAAAAGAAAAUCAGAAAUUAGAUUGACAAUAUAAGAAGAUCAUAUAACGGUGUGCAUAUUU